Arabidopsis suecica is the source of this 220-nucleotide non-coding RNA. The record is from the annotation of a GenBank genome assembly. NCBI's taxonomy places the organism in Eukaryota, Viridiplantae, Streptophyta, Magnoliopsida, Brassicales, Brassicaceae.
UGGAUGAAGGCAGAGCAGUGGAGUUCGACACUAGCAUGUAUCAUUUUGAUGAACAUGUACCUCCACGAGGGAGAGCAAGAGCUUUAGUGAAGCUCAUAGGAACAACAACAAGCUGCAGAAGUGGUGCAAAAAGUAGGACAAGCUACUCGCCAAGUGCCUCAAGACGAUCAAGUUUCUGACGGAUAAGCUGAGCGGUUUCUCUUCCACUACAGCUAUUCCA